This 775-nucleotide long non-coding RNA is filed under the name Homo sapiens (human). RNAcentral's name for it is "non-protein coding NIFK-AS1:8". The record is from RNAcentral. Lineage: Eukaryota; Metazoa; Chordata; Mammalia; Primates; Hominidae.
UGCGACAAAACUCGAGUUAGACAAGGAAGGUCGGAACUAAGUGGCCACAGCAACAAUGCACCAGCAAGCAGGGAGCGUGAUAGGAAGAGCUAAAGAGGAAUCGGGAAACCCUGGAGAUGGGUUUCACCAUGUUUCCCAGCCUUGUCUCAAACUCCUGACCUCAAGUGAUCCGCCGUCUUGGGUCUUCGAAAGUGCUGGGACAGCAGGAGUGAGCCACCGCAUCUGGCCCGGAAAGUGUUUUGGAGCGUAGAAAAAUGCAAAUUAUAGGGCUGCCUUCAAGGAUCCCGAAGGACCCACAGAUUUGCCGCAUCAGGCUCCUAUGCACGCCGGUAAUUUGAUGUGUUGAGAUGCACUGCCCAGUGCGUUGUUUUUACUGGAGGAGCUUGUGUGCGGAGCUCCUUGCUAGUGUAUGUGUUGGGAUGGGAGAGAAGUGCGGGAGAACUAUGAGAUAAUGCCCCCUGAUCCUCAGGGUCUUAGGAGGUAUGGUCGGAGAGGCUAAGCUAAAGUAUGAAAGCCGUGUGUAGGCCCUUCUGUGUAGUGCAGAAAAGGUAGAGGUAUGUGAUUUGAAAGAGUAGGGAUGACAUGGAGGAUGCGACUCCUGGUUGGAUCUAUAAACUAAUGUCUUUGGAACGAAAGCACAUGCAACCUUUUGAAAAUGGAUGGGUGAUAAUGAAAGACCAUUCCAGAGAAGAAACACCAUGGUGCAAAGGCUCAAGAGGCAUACUGGAAGUACAAUGAAGAGAGCAAUCUAACUGAAAUGGGAAAAAAAGAAACA